RNA transcript from Culicoides brevitarsis, 5372 nucleotides. It is a transcript of the gene named protein phosphatase 1 regulatory subunit 12A, with no coding region annotated. The transcript is spliced from 21 exons. The record is from RefSeq and is a predicted model, not a curated record. Lineage: Eukaryota; Metazoa; Arthropoda; Insecta; Diptera; Ceratopogonidae.
CAUGCAAAAUUGUCGUAUUAAUCUGACUGUCGUAUUUUCCGGAUUUUUCGCAGUUUUCCGCAUCUCUCGCACGCCUCACAACGUAGACACGCGCGCGCUCCGUGCGCCCGAAUUCGGAAAAGCAAAGGAAAUAUCGUCGCAUCCGCAAUUUGCACGGGAAAAAAGCGAAAAAAAUUAAUGUGGUCCAUCGUCGUCGUCGUCGUCGUAUUCAUCGUUUUCGUCGCGAAUUGCUAGGAAAAAAGUGAAAAAGCUGCUCGCCAAGUGUUCGGUCCGAGUGUUUUUCUCAUCGUCGUCGCAGCAAAGGGCGCCCGCACAAGCUGCGAAACGCGUCUCCGAGUCGCGAGAGAAAAAAGGCAGCAGCGUACGUAAUGCACAGCAGCUACAGCAAAAGCAGCAACAACAGCGAAAGAGGUCUCUAAAAUUAAAACUUGUGUAGAAAAAAAAAAGAAGAAAAUACAAAUUAGCAGCGAAGAAAUGCAUCUAGUGUACACGAACAAGGAGAGCAAGUGCCGCUCUGUGUGUAAUUGAAAAAUACAAAAAAAAAAAAAAAAUUAAAGAGAAAUAAGAAAGGCAACCAAUUUGCAACCAAAAUAGAAAAUUGUGUGCGUAAAAAAUUCAAAUUGAAAGAAUCGCGCACACACACUCACACUCGCGCGAUAUUCUUCACAUAUGACACAACAGCAACAACCAUCAGCAGAAAUCAACGAAAGUCGACGUCGUCGUGUGCUGUGUUGUAAAUAUAUAAAGUAAAAAAAAUUAUUCUUGCUGCCUCCUCAGGUCAACUAACAAAUAACAAAAAAACGAGUAUUAUUACUAAUUAACGCGAAAAACAAAAAAAUUCGAGAGCGCAACAAAAAUCUGUGGAAAUGUCUCUCGAUUCCCGAAACAACUCGGCAUACUUGAAGCGGGCCGAGCAACUGAAACGAUGGGAAGAGUCAGACACGAAUCGCGAACCAACCACACCAAAAAACAAAAAUCCUAAAAUUAAGUUUUCAUCGGGAUGCAUCUUUCUGGCGGCCUGCGUGUCGGGCGACAAGGACGAAGUCAAGGCGUUGCUCGAGCAGGGCGCCGACAUCGACACAACAAACAUCGAUGGACUAACGGCGUUGCAUCAGGCAUGCAUCGAUGACAACUUGGACAUGGUCGAAUUCCUGAUAUCACAAGGCGCCGAUGUCAAUCGCAAAGACAACGAGGGAUGGACUCCGUUGCACGUCACGGCAUCCUGCGACUUGUUGAGCAUCGCGGGCUUCUUGAUCGAAAGCGGUGCAGACCUUUCGUCGAUUAACAGCGAUGGCGAUUUGCCAAUUGAUCUGGUGCAGUCUGACGAAAUGCGAAAUUUGAUACAAAAACAUGUGAAUGAACAAGGAAUUGACUGUGAUCAAGCGAAACAAAUCGAAGAAAAAUUAAUGUUAGAGGAUGCCAAACGGUGGUUACGCAGCGACGCGUCAGAAGCGGAUCGCCCGCAUCCGAAAACAGGCGCGACGGCAUUGCAUGUGGCUGCCGCGAAGGGAUAUACCAAAGUAUUAAGUUUGCUACUGGCGGGCAGAGCAGAUGUCGAUAAGCAGGACAACGAUGGAUGGACACCGUUGCAUGCCGCAAGUCAUUGGGGGCAGAAGGAAGCGGUGCAAAUGCUUGUCGCGUCGAUGGCUGACAUGGAUAUUCUCAAUUAUGCGGGUCAGUCAUGCAUCGACGUCGCCCAAGAUGACAUCGUAACGUUACUAGAAGAGCUCCGCAAGAACAACAAACGAACAAAACGAAGGCCCGCUAGUCAAAUUAGGAUAAGUAGCGAUGGUAACAACGUAGAUUCAAGCAAUGCCGAGACACCAUCUAAAGUAAUUCGUGUCGAAGUAAAGACUGACGACAAGAUAAUAAACAAGAAACAGCUCGGACACAUAUCAGAGUCUGAUAGUGAAAGUAGUAGUAGUGACAGUCUUGAAAGCUCCGAAUGUAGUGAGACGUCCCUCUCAGAUCGAGACACGAAUGAUGACAAUGUCACGCAAGGAUUUGUGUCGCUGAAGACAACGACGCCUGCCCCAGAACCAGUAAAACUCGAUAAACCGAUUAUUGCUAAGGAUAAGGACUUGAUACAGCAAGAAGAGGAAAAUACUUUCCGCAAACCAAAUUCCGUGCAUCAACGGGAAAGUCCAUAUUCGAACUCACAACUUGAUAAAUCACAAAAAGUUCCUGAUGAUAAAGAGAAUACGACACCGCAACAUAACUCACAAACGGAUUCGGAGGUUAUCUUACGAAGGACUCACAGUUUUGAAAGUGAUGAAGCUUUUUACACACGAUUACAAGAGCUUCGAGCACGGAUCAAAGCGAACUCAUGUUCAAACUUGCCGUUGCCUCAAAAGCAGGGCAGCAACGGCACAACUGGCAAUAACAAUAAUAAUAAUAACAAUAACAAUCAAACGAAUCAACUAAAUAACUUUAUCGUACAAAGAUCCGCAUCACUGAAAGAUCAUAAGCAAGUUCUUCUAAGAAAACCAACUGCAUCAUCACCGCCAUCUAGUCCCAUAUCCACUUCAGCAUCAGCGAGUGUUCGUAGUCCUCCAUUAACGGCAGCUGAACUGCUCGCUCGUCGCCUUAGUUCACCUGAAGUGUCUGGAGGUGCUUCUGCACAACAGCCACCUUGUCCGGUAUUCAUGCUUCCUGCCAAUCGGCAAACGACGAACGGCGAAAAUUCCGCCGAAAAUGGCAGCGGGAAUGAAAAAUCCGGACAAUCACCAUUCACAAAAUUUGUACAAGGAAAUAUUUUCAAAAAUUUCUUCAAGUCAUUUGUGCCUCCAACACGCGACGAAGAGAGUGAAACUCAGAGGAAAGCGCAUGCCAAGAGAGUUCGGGAGACGCGACGCUCCACGCAAGGCGUCACACUGGAAGAAAUCAAAAGUGCCGAGCAGCUCGUCAAGAAAAAGAACUCGACGAAUGCUGAGACGGAAGUAAGCAGCGUCGUUAGCACCUCAGCAACUGUCACAAUCCCAAGUACCUUACAGCAAAAUGAUCGUGUGCCUGCGGUGCCGAAUGUCGAGGAAUAUUUGAAGAAGGAAGACUCGCCCGUGUCUUCCGAGACGUCGUCCGCAUCGUCGUUACGUGGCUCGUCGCCGCCAACGAGCGAACAAGUCAGUGCCUCGUAUACUCUCAUCACGCCUUCGUUCCUGCGACAACGCGGUUCGAGCGUUGGCUCCGAUGACUCGGAAAAGGCGGGAAAAACCACAAGUGUGAGUUACACAAUUCCCGUUGCGGCGCCAAUUACGGAGAGCGUCGAGACCAAAACCACGGAUGAAGACUCGAAUUCGACGGUAACGGCGACCUUUAAAGUCCCGCUGCCGGUUUCAACGCGCAAAAUUAGCAGCGACUCGUCGACGGAAAUGGAGAAAUCGAAACCAUCGCCUACGAUGAAAAGUCGCUUCAAAUGGGAGUCCGAGGAAAAGUCGUCGGAAACGGAAAAACCUGUGCCUGCUGCGCGUUUUAAUACCACAACGUCAUCCGAUUAUGGGACACAUCGCUCGUAUGUGCGUGACAAGAGAUCCAUUUUCGACAUUGAUCACGCCCAAUUGACGCUUGCGGAGAAAUUGAGGAUCGAAGCGAGCAAAUACGCGGAUACAAGUCGUUCGAACACGGAUUUGCCCUACUCGAGGAGCGAUUCGGCCGAAAGCGAUACCGUACCCAAGAAAUACGAUUCAGUUCCUUCGUCGCCAGCACAUCAUACGACGACUGAAAGACGCCCGUCGUGGCGCCUUCGACUCGAUCCCAACAGCAAGUUCAAACUCGAAGAAUCUGCCCAAGGAAAUAACAAGUCAGUCAUUAGUCAAGCGGCGUUGCAGCCCAGCAGUAACAUUACAAUUGAUGCGAGCAAGAUGCCCGUUAUCCCGGUUGCAGCAACGAGACGUAUUAUGCCUGUCAAUAACACAGUUCCUAACGCGACAACUGUAUCUACGACAAUAAACUUAUCGAAUGCCCGUCCAAUCUCAUCCACCGCACAAGCAAACGACCAAAAAUCAGCGACUCCAACUGUCAAUAGCAACGCAACAGCGACAGAUGCGACACUGCCAAGCACGAGACAACGGUUAAAAGCACAGGAAGAGGUCAAGGAGAAUGCCAACAAGGGAUCAGAAAAUGAUAAGGAGAACGACAGCAGAAGUGCCCAAAACACUCAAGCACUCAUUCAACGUCGAAGACGCCCGAAACGUCGAUCGACGGGAGUCGUUCAUCUCGAUGGAGAGGAUCCCGAAAACGACAAGGAGUCUGGAGGCGAAUCUGGUCGCGUGGAAAAGGAUGACUCAUCAGAAAAUGGUGAAUUUAUCGACUACAAAGCUCUCUACGAGGCUGAAAAGGCAGAAAAUGACAAAAACAAAGAGGCCCUUCGCAAGAAAGACGAAGAACUGGCCACUCUAAAGUCGGCAUUGGAACGUUUUACGAACGCAACUACCAAAAAUACAUUGUCAGAAAUUGAGAAACGCGAACGUCGUGCGAUGGAACGCAAAAUUUCUGAAAUGGAAGAAGAACUUAAACAAUUACAAAAAUUCAAGAACGAAAAUGAGCGUUUGCGUGCCGAAAAUCGCGCACUUACGAGAGUCGUCUCGAAAUUAACGACGUCUGCUCAAAAUCAACUGCACAACAACCAACAAAAGCAACAGAAGUAGCUCAAAAAUAAUAAAUUUUCGUAAUUUUGUAGCCAAAUUUUUUCAAGAAUUUUAUAGAAAAACCCCUUUUUACAAUACAACUUAAUAAAUUAGCCAUUAAAAAACGUGAAAAAAAUCUUAAACGCAACAUUUUUCGAUAAUAUAUCGCCCCGUUUUGAUAUACUAUACGAGAAAAUUAUGUGGAAAAAUAUUAAAAAUAGUAGAAAUUUACACACAAAUACUCAGCUCUUGUCCUGUGAGAAAAAAAUAUGCUGCUAGCAGGCCAUGGUCCUUGUCAUGCAAAUGGAAACGCUAAAGGCAGAUAAUCAAAGAUUAAAGGACGAGAAUGGAGCAUUAAUUAGAGUCAUAAGUAAACUAAGUAAAUAGGAUUAUUUAUUUAUUACGUUUUUCUUUCGGUUUUAUUCUUUGGAGGUACAUGAAAAAGGCAAAACUUGCAAAAAAUUUUAAUGUUAUAACUAGUAUUUUGUUUUGAAUCCAAAAAAAAAAAAGAAAAAUUGCACUCUUUUACAUACAAUAUCAAACUAGAAGCAGCUAUUACAGUAAAUUUAAUAAACAAACAUAUAUUAUUAUUAUUACUAUAAGGCAUCUUCCUCAAACAAAAAGUUUUAAACAUUGCAAGCUAAUAAUCUGAUGAUAUUCCAUCCCAAUUAUUCUACGUAUUAUACAACAUAUAGAUUUAACAUAUAGAUUGUUCCUUCUUCUUCCUUCCUUCAUAUUAUAUAUCGAUGC